Arabidopsis thaliana (thale cress) is the source of this 418-nucleotide long non-coding RNA. RefSeq annotates it as other RNA. The transcript has a single exon. NCBI's taxonomy places the organism in Eukaryota, Viridiplantae, Streptophyta, Magnoliopsida, Brassicales, Brassicaceae. The record is from RefSeq.
AACCAGGCUCAUCCACAUGGACCAUCUUGUUUGGUCGAUACCCUUUUGCCAAUAAAUGGUUCAUAGACACAUAAACAAAUACCCCACACGCCAAGCUCAUCGAAAGUGCCAAUAUCCAUGACCGUCGCUGCGGUGGCUUCUCGACGCCAUGGAACGUGCGUCUACGAGAGCUCACAUAUCAAACUCGAAUGAAGGAAGCUGGUGUGUAUGUGUUUGUGAUCAUCGAGCGUUUGUCAUGAUCCUGUCUUCUUGUGCCUAUCUAUCUUGGAGGCUCAAGAGAUUGGUCAAGAAGUAAGAAGCUAGUAAAAGCCAAUGGUAUUGUAACAAAAUUUGUUUUGUGAGCGAAAAUGCAUUGAUCAGUAGUAUGUAUGCUAGGUGAGGUAACUUGGCAAAGCCACUUGCUGUUUUCGACAUCUUA